RNAcentral lists this ribosomal RNA (253 nucleotides) under uncultured bacterium. Its description in RNAcentral is "partial 16S ribosomal RNA". It matches the Rfam family "Bacterial small subunit ribosomal RNA", at positions 524 to 776 of the family's 1533-position model. The record is from RNAcentral.
GACAGAGGGUGCAAGCGUUGCUCGGAAUCACUGGGCGUAAAGGGCGUGUAGGCGGGCAGGAAAGUCAGAUGUGAAAUCUCCAGGCUCAACCUGGGAACUGCAUUUGUGACUGCAUGGCUGGAGUGCGGCAGAGGGGGAUGGAAUUCCGCGUGUAGCAGUGAAAUGCGUAGAUAUGCGGAGGAACACCGAUGGCGAAGGCAGGUCUCUGGGCAUUAACUGACGCUGAGGAGCGAAAGCAUGGGGAGCGAACAGG